UUAGAUACCCUGGUAGUCCACCCCGUAAACGUUGGGAACUAGUUGUGGGGUCCAUUCCACGGAUUCCGUGACGCAGCUAACGCAUUAAGUUCCCCGCCUGGGGAGUACGGCCGCAAGGCUAAAACUCAAAGGAAUUGACGGGGACCCGCACAAGCGGCGGAGCAUGCGGAUUAGUUCGAUGCAACGCGAAGAACCUUACCAAGGCUUGACAUAUACGAGAACGGGCCAGAAAUGGUCAACUCUUUGGACACUCGUAAACAGGUGGUGCAUGGUUGUCGUCAGCUCGUGUCGUGAGAUGUUGGGUUAAGUCCCGCAACGAGCGCAACCCUCGUUCUAUGUUGCCAGCACGUAAUGGUGGGAACUCAUGGGAUACUGCCGGGGUCAACUCGGAGGAAGGUGGGGAUGACGCCAAAUCAUCAUGCCCCUUAUGUCUUGGGCUUCACGCAUGCUACAAUGGCCGGUACAAAGGGCUGCAAUACCGUGAGGUGGAGCGAAUCCCAAAAAGCCGGUCCCAGUUCGGAUUGAGGUCUGCAACUCGACCUCAUGAAGUCGGAGUCGCUAGUAAUCGCAGAUCAGCAACG
This 581-nucleotide ribosomal RNA is filed under the name uncultured bacterium. RNAcentral describes it as "bacterial SSU rRNA". It matches the Rfam family "Bacterial small subunit ribosomal RNA", at positions 778 to 1356 of the family's 1533-position model. The record is from RNAcentral.